Molecule: ribosomal RNA, 253 nt
Filed under: uncultured bacterium
Lineage: Bacteria
Description: partial 16S ribosomal RNA
Rfam family: Bacterial small subunit ribosomal RNA
Source: RNAcentral
UACGUAGGGAGCAAGCGUUGUUCGGAUUUACUGGGCGUAAAGGGCGCGUAGGCGGCAUAUUAAGUCAUCUGUGAAAUCUCCGAGCUUAACUCGGAACUGUCAGCUGAUACUGAUGUGCUAGAGUGCGGAAGGGGCAAUCGGAAUUCUUGGUGUAGCGGUGAAAUGCGUAGAUAUCAAGAGGAACACCUGAGGUGAAGACGGGUUGCUGGGCCGUAACUGACGCUGAGGAGCGAAAGCAUGGGGAGCGAACAGG